UGAUCUCUUCCAACAUGGACCGCCACGUUUCCUUCAGUCGACUAGAUACGCGUUAUGUUUAUGUAACUGGAUAGUACUCGAAGGUAUUGAUUGGCAUCCAUGCUUCCGGAAUUCCAUUCCGCUGUCCCGAUCGCACCUUUUAUUCUGCAAGUCCCAGAAGCCGUUGAUCAAAACACUCAACGAAAAGACGCUGCACGAAGGCGGACCACCGAGGGAAUAUUUUCUCAAAACUAAAGGAAUUUUAAGUGAGUUCAAUCAAUUAAGGUUGACUCGGUAGAAGAAGUAACCGUUUUCACAAUGCAGAGAUUGCUAUCCAGAGCAUCGGAUAGUUUUUACUCCACGAGUUUUACAUAGUUUUCGCUACAAAUCCCAAAUUUCGUCUGAAAAUCUGACAUUUAGAAGACAGUGUAAAAGCAACAUUCACGUUUUUGACAAAGGAGCAGCAAGCGGAAAUCAGGUCUCAAGUGGUUGUGGAUGCAGUUGAUCAGAAACCAAAGUCAAAAUAGUACAUCUUGGAACUACUGCUGUGGAAGGAGGCAGGGAAACAAUUUUGAUGAUCAACAUUGGCUGCUUCAAAGAUCUUGAUAUCUGUAUAAUGGUUUAUUCUUCCCAAGUUAUCCUUAAGGCGGUGGGGGUUCAGUGACCUGAGCUCAUGACAGUGUUACAGUCACCUACAAAGGUCAUGUAGCUUAUGCUGCAACAUUCCCUUGGGAGGGAAUCGAUGCAUUGGAUACAGCUGUCAUGCCUAAUACAAACAUAAGAGUACUGCAACAGCAGAUGAAGCUCUAAUGGCAAGUUCAUAGUUUUAUUUCUGAGGUUGGGAUCAAGCCAAACAUUGUACCAGAUGGGGCUCAGCUGAUCUUCAAACAUGAGGGCUCCAACUGUGAGGAACUUGAGGUCUUGACAGAAAAAGUCUCUAGUUGUUUUGAAGCUGUUGCACUGAUGACAGGGUGCAAAGUGCAUGGGGAGUGGAAUCUAUUACACUAUUCCAGUGUGGAUCAAGCAGACCUCUACCAGGCUAAUGUCAAGUCUUUUGGUGUAACCUUUGACCCACAAGUGCAACAGCAAACAUGGGGCUCACCAGAUAUGGGAAAUGUCUCAAAGAAAAUUCCUUCAAAUCAUGUACUAUAUGAUAUUGGAUGUAAAGCUUCAAACCAUUGUCAUGCAUUCAUGGCAGCAGCAAUGACAGAGUAUGCCCAUGCAAAAAUGCUGAUUGCAAGCAAAGCAAUGGCCAUGACAGCUAUUGAUAUUCUAUAUCAUCCA
Pocillopora damicornis (cauliflower coral) is the source of this 1263-nucleotide long non-coding RNA. The record is from RefSeq and is a predicted model, not a curated record. NCBI's taxonomy places the organism in Eukaryota, Metazoa, Cnidaria, Anthozoa, Scleractinia, Pocilloporidae.